UUCGCAGGACAGGUGAUCGCGGCUGCAAGUGCCGAAAGGCCGCAGGUGAGGAAAGUCCGGGCUUCAUAGGGCAGGAUGCCGGUUAACGGCCGGUGGAGGAAACUCUAAGGAAAGUGCAACAGAAAUAUACCGCCAGCUAUGCUGGUAAGGGUGGAAUGGCAGUGUAAGAGACUACCGCCUUCCUGGUAACAGGGAGGGCACAUGUAAACCCCAUUCGAAGCAAGACCGAAACAAAGCGUUUGACGUGGCCCGCUUAGCUUUAGGUAGGUCGCUUGAGGCGGCUGGUAACAGUCGUCCUAGAUAGAUGAUCACCCACGACAUAACCCGGCUUAUCGUUCUGCGAAUCUU
Molecule: RNase P RNA, 348 nt
Filed under: Agathobacter sp.
Lineage: Bacteria; Bacillati; Bacillota; Clostridia; Lachnospirales; Lachnospiraceae
Description: RNase P RNA component class A
Rfam family: Bacterial RNase P class A
About the family: Ribonuclease P (RNase P) is a ubiquitous endoribonuclease, found in archaea, bacteria and eukarya as well as chloroplasts and mitochondria. Its best characterised activity is the generation of mature 5'-ends of tRNAs by cleaving the 5'-leader elements of precursor-tRNAs. Cellular RNase Ps are ribonucleoproteins.
Source: RNAcentral